RNAcentral lists this ribosomal RNA (406 nucleotides) under uncultured bacterium. Its description in RNAcentral is "partial 16S ribosomal RNA". It matches the Rfam family "Bacterial small subunit ribosomal RNA", at positions 30 to 526 of the family's 1533-position model. The record is from RNAcentral.
AUUGAACGCUGGCGGCAGGCCUAACACAUGCAAGUCGAACGAGUGGCGGACGGGUGAGCAAUGUCUGGGAAACUGCCUGAUGGAGGGGGUCAACUACUGGAAACUGUAGCUAAUACCGCAUUCCAUCAGAUGUGCCCAGUUGGGAUUAGCUUGUUGUUGGGGUAACGGCUCACCAAGGCGACUAUCCCUAGCUGGUCUGAGAGGAUGACCAGCCACACUGGAACUGAGACACGGUCCAGACUCCUACGGGAGGCAGCAGUGGGGAAUAUUGGACAAUGGGCGAAAGCCUGAUGCAGCCAUGCCGCGUGUAUGAAGAAGGGCUUCGGAUUGUAAAGUACUUUAAGCGGGGAGGCGUUACCAGCAGAAGAAGCACCGGCUAACUUCGUGCCAGCAGCCGCGGUAAUAC